AGCGAACGCUAGCGGCGGGCUUAACACAUGCAAGUCGAGCGAGAACUUCGGUUCUAGCGGCGAACGGGUGAGUAACACGUAGAUGACGUACCCUUUGGCGGGGGAUAACUCAGGGAAACCUGAGCUAAUACCGCAUAUGUCCUUCGGGAUGAAAGGCUUCGGCCACCAGAGGAUCGGUCUGCGGCCCAUUAUCUAAUCCUAGUUGGUAGGGUAACGGCCUACCAAGGGUACGAUGGGUAGCUGGUCUGAGAGGAUGAUCAGCCACACUGGGACUGAGACACGGCCCAGACUCCUACGGGAGGCAGCAGUGGGGAAUAUUGGACAAUGGGCGAAAGCCUGAUCCAGCCACGCCGCGUGAGUGAUGAAGGCCCUAGGGUUGUAAAGCUCUGUCGGGAGGGACGAAGGCUUCGGCUUGACGGUACCUCGCAAGAAAGCACCGGCUAACUUCG
RNAcentral lists this ribosomal RNA (449 nucleotides) under uncultured Myxococcales bacterium. RNAcentral describes it as "bacterial SSU rRNA". It matches the Rfam family "Bacterial small subunit ribosomal RNA", at positions 29 to 505 of the family's 1533-position model. Lineage: Bacteria; Pseudomonadati; Myxococcota; Myxococcia; Myxococcales. The record is from RNAcentral.